Non-coding RNA from Triticum urartu, 1699 nucleotides. The record is from RefSeq and is a predicted model, not a curated record. Lineage: Eukaryota; Viridiplantae; Streptophyta; Magnoliopsida; Poales; Poaceae.
CAGCAAACCAAUCCAAACCCUAGCAGCCCGCGCCUGCCUCUCUCCCCCCUCUCCGCCGCCUCUCUCUUUCCCCUUCUCCCCGAUCCAGAUCCAACCCAAGCGCCCCGUCCUCCGCCGCCGCCCCGUCCCCUGCCAUAGCCACGACGUCACGACGUCCCUUGCUCCCUCUCCGCCUACGGGGCCGCGCCCCUCGCGCUGCUCCCCAAUGACGCGGGCCUCGACCCGCGGGGCUCGUCCAAGUGGCGGGCGACUGGUGGCGGCGACACCAGCGUUGUCGCGAGGGGGCCGCGAGUGGCGGGCGACCCGCACCUCUUACGUCUUCCUCCCCUCGGCCUCGAUUCCCUAAUCCACCAAAUGUCGCCGACCUCCUCUCCUCUCCCACCAUCAACCUCCUCUCCCCAGCCAGCCCCACUGACGACUUCCGCGGUCUUCCCAUCCCCAGCGGCCUCCUCCCUCGACCCCAUCGCCGGCGGCCCCUAACCUCUCCUCCUCUCCCUGGCGACUGGCGAGGGAGGAUCCAGAUCCACUUGAGCGUGGCUGCGGCGGCCACGCACCGGCAGAGGAAUCCUCCUCCUCCUCCGACACCACCGCCUCCGCGCCCUCCUCCUUCAACCCCCUAGUCCCCUGCCACGUCCAGCCUCCACAUACACCCCUCCUCGCGCCCGGCCGAAACCCUAGCCAGCGGGCGGCCUUGGCGGACGAAGUUGCCACACGCCGGAGGUGCAGCGCAGGCCUCACUCCUCCAAGACCCCGACAAUGUUUGCUUGGUGUGUGGAGAGGGCCAAAGGACAAGAUGCUUCAAUCUGGCGAGGACAGAGCCAAAGGACCAAAGUUUGUUUAUCUGUUGCCAAGUUUGGUACCAUCCCGUGGGGAGGCCAGGGACAAGCUGCUCCGAUUCGGCGAGGAUGCCCACCAUCUGUUGUUGCCAAGCCUGCAGGGUUCAUACUGCUCCUUUGUGUUAUUUUUUUGCCUUGAGAUUGUUUCAAGAUCCAGAAGUGAGCAAUUUUGCAUGGCUCAGAUUUUGACGCCUCUGAAUUAGUAGUGCUAAUUAUUCCCAGGUCACAAGAGUCUGUAGCUUCUGAAUUUAAUUGUAUGCAUGCAAUACUUAAUGGUAUUGUUGUGCAAUUCGUACUGAGCAUGCAUCAACAGUAGGAGUGCUUAGUGCAUGCAUCAACAACUAUCUGGGUUUGAUUGCUGGACUUGUAAAUGUAUGGGUUGGUCUGGGUUUGGUUUGGAUUACAAACUAUUGCCUGGUUGUCUUAAUGUGCUGAAUAUUUUCAAAUGUUGUGGCAGCUGGGAUACUGAAUUGUACUUAGUUAUUUGAUCUACUCAUGUUCAUGCUGCUUGUUAAGUGAUUAUAUUUAUGUUCUUGCUACUAGUAGGAUGGUCAAUACAUGCUUGUUAUGUAACUUUAGAUCUUUCGUGGAACUCCUAGUCCUUCAUAUCUAAAGUUAUUUUGACAUUCUGCAUAGAUUGUAACAUCGCUUGAUUGCUUAUAUCUUCCUUCUGAACCUGCAAACCUUGAUGUAUAAUUAGUUAAUUACACACUUUGAUAUGUCCAACUGAACCAACUUUGUUAAUUACACACACACACACACACACACACAUAUAUAUAUAUAAUAUAUACAUGCCCACACGUCAAAUAUAUGGUGUUGUAUUAUGCUUAUGCUACUUGUAUCACCAGUGUUUCCUCUUGUUU